UCUAGAACUCGAGAUAUGGGCUGAACACUGAACAGUGUCUGGGUUGUAGGACAUAUUCGGACUUCUUUGUUGUUGCUACAAUUUGGACUUGAAAAUAGCCUUUUUAAAUCUUAGACUCCCAUAAAAGUUUUAGGCCUAUGUCUUAGCUUUCCAUC
This is a non-coding RNA of Populus trichocarpa (black cottonwood), 155 nucleotides long. The record is from Rfam. Lineage: Eukaryota; Viridiplantae; Streptophyta; Magnoliopsida; Malpighiales; Salicaceae.